This 1790-nucleotide long non-coding RNA is filed under the name Homo sapiens (human). Its description in RNAcentral is "TM4SF1 antisense RNA 1". Lineage: Eukaryota; Metazoa; Chordata; Mammalia; Primates; Hominidae. The record is from RNAcentral.
GAGAUGCAGAUAGGAUGAUGGAACUCACGGACAGGGGAACAAAGGUCUGGAAAUUCGGAAUGUCAUACUCCACAUUUUGCAUUUUUGACUCUUUCUAUCCAUAUACUUUAUUCUUCUUAGUGCAGUCUCAUUGUCUCUGGUUCUCAGUUCACACACAAAAAAUAUGGCUACUGACAGUUCUGAAGUUUAUAGUUUUUUCAGUUCAAGAGAUUCAUCCCAAGUCCAGAUUGUGAGAGAAGGGACAUGCAUUGGACAAGACCAGGCCAGGUGCCCAUGCCUGUGGGGUCAGGUGCCCAUGCCUGUGGGGCCUGCAUAAACAUGGCUGCUGGGAGCCAUCCCUGCAACCAGGUACAUGCAGGAGAAGUCAUUCUCAGGAAAAGGUGAGUGUGGGACCAGGCAGGGAAGCCAGUUUCUGUCCUUUAUUUGGAACCAUAAUCAAGGCAGACAACCACAGUAAAGAGAUGCAGAGGCAGGGAGUAGUGUAAAACCACCUUACACACAGCUUCCUGGCUUUCCCUUCACUUUAGGUUGUAGCUCAAGUUAUUCUUGGGCUAAAAAAUAAGCUCUGUUGGCCCAAUUAAACCAGAAUUAAUCACCAAUUCCCCAUCUUUAUCUGGUAAUUUUAGUUCAACAUUGCUCAGCUGAUGGCUCAUUAAGCCAAGAACUCUCCCAGGUCUCAGUUACCAUUUUCAGACAAGACACCUCCUGGGGUGCCUGCCCUGUGGUCUGAAGCUCAAGAUGUGGCUCUGGGUCUCCCUUCCUGAGGGCUAGCUACCCAGAAGGGCUGGUGUGACUUCCUCUUGAAUGGGUGAGCUGAAGGCAUCCAGGGCACCUAGGGCAACUAGUGCAUAAAUACUUGAAGGGGAAAGGACUCUCAUGUUCUGAUUUGAGUAUCAUUUCCUUGGGUUGAAUAAUUAGAGCCUGGCAUGUGAGAUGUGGAGGGCUUCAAAGACCAUUUGAUUUUCAACAGAAAACGGUCUAUGGUUUUCUAAAACGACACACCCUGAUUCAGCCCAAGGGAAACAGAAUGUCUGUGGGUGAGGCCAGGAAUCUGCAUUUUAAGUAAGUCCUCCAAAUGACUCCAGUGCCCAAGCAGAGUUGAAGUCCACUGAUGUAGGUGGCCCAACUUUCUAGUUUUAUACAUGAGGCUACGCAAGUCCAGCAAGGUUCAUUUCAGUUGAGAAGAAAAACCAUUGAUUAAAAUAAAAAAAAAAAACCCUAAAAACUUUAAACUGAUGAAUUCAUGUGUUUGCACCUUUUGAACCCGGUUCACCAAGUGGUUCUCUUUGUGAGGCAGGAGAAGUAGCAGGCCACUUGCAGCUCCUCUCUCUGUCUGAUGGGAGACCAGGUCCUCCCUGGGAAAAGUAGCAAGUUCUCUCCUGCUGGCCUCCUUCCACAGAUCACAGCUGCCUUUGGGGAGAAUGACAAAAACUGUUCAGGGUUCCUGGGUAAUACGUAUCCAGUUUCUGUGCAUUCAGGGGAAGAGGAGCGUGGAGCAGAAGGAGAGUGGGCACAUGCAAGUCACUCUGAUGCCGUCAUUUAACUUUACAGCUCCGUUGUGCAAAGCUGUUUACAGAAAGGUUGGGGUGAAACUCUCCACUCCUGCUUUCAUACCAUUUGAAGUUCAGACCAGUGAGAUUUCCAUCAGUUGGGAGUUGAAGAUGCCACAAGGACAAGAACUGAGGAUGGUUUGCUCAGAGCUGAUUUUUAGACACCAUUUUCCAGGGAUCCCUGGUGACAGAGGAGCAUUUUUUUUGUGGUUGAGUUCUGAAUUAAAAAGUGUCGUACUA